ACGAACGCUGGCGGCGCGCCUAACACAUGCAAGUCGAACGAGCGAAAGAGAGCUUGCUUUCUCGAGCGAGUGGCGAACGGGUGAGUAACGCGUGAGGAACUUACCUCAAAGAGGGGGACAACAGUUGGAAACGACUGCUAAUACCGCAUAAGCCCACGACCCGGCAUCGGGUUGAGGGAAAAGGAGCAAUCCGCUUUGAGAUGGCCUCGCGUCCGAUUAGCUAGUUGGUGAGGUAACGGCCCACCAAGGCGACGAUCGGUAGCCGGACUGAGAGGUUGAACGGCCACAUUGGGACUGAGACACGGCCCAGACUCCUACGGGAGGCAGCAGUGGGGAAUAUUGCACAAUGGGGGAAACCCUGAUGCAGCAACGCCGCGUGGAGGAAGAAGGUCUUCGGAUUGUAAACUCCUGUUGUUGGGGAAGAUAAUGACGGUACUCAACAAGGAAGUGACGGCUAACUACGUGCCAGCAGCCGCCGUAA
RNAcentral lists this ribosomal RNA (481 nucleotides) under uncultured bacterium. RNAcentral describes it as "partial 16S ribosomal RNA". It matches the Rfam family "Bacterial small subunit ribosomal RNA", at positions 29 to 523 of the family's 1533-position model. The record is from RNAcentral.